RNAcentral lists this ribosomal RNA (460 nucleotides) under uncultured bacterium. RNAcentral describes it as "partial 16S ribosomal RNA". It matches the Rfam family "Bacterial small subunit ribosomal RNA", at positions 338 to 795 of the family's 1533-position model. The record is from RNAcentral.
CCUACGGGAGGCAGCAGUGAGGAAUAUUGGUCAAUGGACGCGAGUCUGAACCAGCCAUGCCGCGUGCAGGAUGACGGCUCUAUGAGUUGUAAACUGCUUUUGUACGAGGGUAAACCCCGAUACGUGUAUCGGGUUGAAAGUAUCGUGCGAAUAAGGAUCGGCUAACUCCGUGCCAGCAGCCGCGGUAAUACGGAGGAUCCGAGCGUUAUCCGGGUUUAUUGGGUUUAAAGGGUGCGUUGGCGGUUUGAUAAGGUAGAGGUGAAAUGUCGGGGCUCAACCCCGAAACUGCCUCUAAUACUGUCGGACUAGAGAAUAGUUGCGGUAGGCGGAAUGUAUGGUGUAGCGGUGAAAUGCUUAGAGAUCAUACAGAACACCGAUUGCGAAGGCAGCUUACCAAACUACAUCUGACGUUGAGGCACGAAAGCGUGGGUAGCAAACAGGAUUAGAUACCCCUGUAGUC